GACGAACGCUGGCGGCGUGCUUAACACAUGCAAGUCGAGCGGUAAGGCCCUUUCGGGGGUACACGAGCGGCGAACGGGUGAGUAACACGUGGGUGACCUGCCUUUAGCUCUGGGAGUAAGCCUGGGAACCGGGUACGUAAUACCGGAUAUGACUCCGCGGCGCAUGUUGUGGGGUGGAAAGCCUUGUGCGGCUGGAGAUGGGCCCGCGGCCUAUCAGCUUGUUGGUGGGGUGAUGGCCUACCAAGGCGACGACGGGUAGCCGGCCUCGAGAGGGCGACCGGCCACACUGGGACUGAGACACGG
Molecule: ribosomal RNA, 303 nt
Filed under: uncultured bacterium
Lineage: Bacteria
Description: bacterial SSU rRNA
Rfam family: Bacterial small subunit ribosomal RNA
Source: RNAcentral